This 417-nucleotide ribosomal RNA is filed under the name uncultured bacterium. Its description in RNAcentral is "bacterial SSU rRNA". It matches the Rfam family "Bacterial small subunit ribosomal RNA", at positions 355 to 787 of the family's 1533-position model. The record is from RNAcentral.
UGAGGGAUAUUGGGCAAUGGGGGAAACCCUGACCCAGCGACGCCGCGUGAGGGAAGACGGUCUUCGGAUUGUAAACCUCUGUCUUUGGGGACGAAGAAGGACGGUACCCAAGGAGGAAGCUCCGGCUAACUACGUGCCAGCAGCCGCGGUAAUACGUAGGGAGCGAGCGUUGUCCGGAAUUACUGGGUGUAAAGGGAGCGUAGGCGGGAUUGCAAGUUGGAUGUGAAAACUGCGGGCUCAACCCGGAGAGUGCAUUCAAAAUCUGCGAUUCUUGAGUGAAGUAGAGGCAAGCGGAAUUCCUAGUGUAGCGGUGAAAUGCGUAGAUAUUAGGAGGAACACCAGUGGCGAAGGCGGCUUGCUGGGCUUUUACUGACGCUGAGGCUCGAAAGUGUGGGGAGCAAACAGGAUUAGAUACCC